Molecule: transfer RNA, 73 nt
Filed under: Jaapia argillacea MUCL 33604
Lineage: Eukaryota; Fungi; Basidiomycota; Agaricomycetes; Jaapiales; Jaapiaceae
Description: tRNA-Arg (CCT) (tRNA-Arg-CCT-1-1)
Rfam family: tRNA
About the family: Transfer RNA (tRNA) molecules are approximately 80 nucleotides in length. Their secondary structure includes four short double-helical elements and three loops (D, anti-codon, and T loops). Further hydrogen bonds mediate the characteristic L-shaped molecular structure. tRNAs have two regions of fundamental functional importance: the anti-codon, which is responsible for specific mRNA codon recognition, and the 3' end, to which the tRNAs corresponding amino acid is attached (by aminoacyl-tRNA synthetases). tRNAs cope with the degeneracy of the genetic code in two manners: having more than one tRNA (with a specific anti-codon) for a particular amino acid; and 'wobble' base-pairing, i.e. permitting non-standard base-pairing at the 3rd anti-codon position.
Source: RNAcentral
GCCGGCGUGGCCCAAUGGUCAAGGCGCACGCUUCCUAAGCGUGAGAUUGCGGGUUCGAGUCCCGCCGUUGGUA